GACGAACGCUGGCGGCGUGCUUAACACAUGCAAGUCGAACGGAAAGGCUCCUGCUUGCAGGGGUACUCGAGUGGCGAACGGGUGAGUAACACGUGGGUGAUCUGCCCUGCACUUCGGGAUAAGCCUGGGAAACUGGGUCUAAUACCGGAUAGGACGAUGGUUUGGAUGCCAUUGUGGAAAGUUUUUUCGGUGUGGGAUGAGCUCGCGGCCUAUCAGCUUGUUGGUGGGGUAAUGGCCUACCAAGGCGUCGACGGGUAGCCGGCCUGAGAGGGUGUACGGCCACAUUGGGACUGAGAUACGGCCCAGACUCCUACGGGAGGCAGCAGUGGGGAAUAUUGCACAAUGGGCGCAAGCCUGAUGCAGCGACGCCGCGUGGGGGAUGACGGCCUUCGGGUUGUAAACUCCUUUCGCUAGGGACGAAGCGCAAGUGACGGUACCUGGAGAAGAAGCACCGGCUAACUACGUG
Molecule: ribosomal RNA, 466 nt
Filed under: uncultured bacterium
Lineage: Bacteria
Description: partial 16S ribosomal RNA
Rfam family: Bacterial small subunit ribosomal RNA
Source: RNAcentral